CCUACGGGAGGCAGCAGUGAGGAAUAUUGGUCAAUGGCCGUAAGGCUGAACCAGCCAAGCCGCGUGAAGGAAGAAGGUUCUAUGGUUUGUAAACUUCUUUUAUAGGGGAAUAAAGGUAUCCUCGUGUGGAUAUUUGCAUGUACCCUAUGAAUAAGCAUCGGCUAACUCCGUGCCAGCAGCCGCGGUAAUACGGAGGAUGCGAGCGUUAUCCGGAUUUAUUGGGUUUAAAGGGUGCGUAGGUUGUUUUGUAAGUCAGGGGGGAAAGUUCGGGGCUCAACCACAGAAUUGCCGUUGAAAUUGGAAGACUUGAGUGUGCGAGAGGUAGGCGGAAUGUGUGGUGUAGCGGUGAAAUGCAUAGAUA
RNAcentral lists this ribosomal RNA (361 nucleotides) under uncultured bacterium. Its description in RNAcentral is "partial 16S ribosomal RNA". It matches the Rfam family "Bacterial small subunit ribosomal RNA", at positions 338 to 696 of the family's 1533-position model. The record is from RNAcentral.